RNAcentral lists this ribosomal RNA (904 nucleotides) under uncultured Verrucomicrobiota bacterium. Its description in RNAcentral is "bacterial SSU rRNA". It matches the Rfam family "Bacterial small subunit ribosomal RNA", at positions 9 to 918 of the family's 1533-position model. The record is from RNAcentral. Lineage: Bacteria; Pseudomonadati; Verrucomicrobiota.
GAGUUUGAUUCUGGCUCAGAACGAACGCUGGCGGCGUGGAUAAGACAUGCAAGUCGAACGGGGCCAGGUUUGUAGUAAUACAAGCUUGGUUCAGUGGCGCACGGGUGCGUAACACGUGAGCAAUCUGCCGGGAAGUGGGGGAUAGCUCGCCGAAAGGCGAAUUAAUACCGCAUAUGGCCAUUCUUCGAGUGGAGGAAAAGCCAAAGCAGCAAUGCGCUUCCUGAUGAGCUCGCRGCCUAUCAGCUAGAUGGCGGGGUAACAGCCCACCAUGGCUAUGACGGGUAGCUGGUCUGAGAGGACGACCAGCCACACUGGAACUGAGAUACGGUCCAGACACCUACGGGUGGCAGCAGUCGAGAAUUUUUCACAAUGGGGGCAACCCUGAUGGAGCGACGCCGCGUGGAGGAUGAAGGCCUUCGGGUUGUAAACUCCUGUCAUGCGGGAACAAGAAAGUGAUAGUACCGCAAGAGGAAGAGACGGCUAACUCUGUGCCAGCAGCCGCGGUAAUACAGAGGUCUCAAGCGUUGUUCGGAUUCAUUGGGCGUAAAGGGUGCGUAGGUGGUGACGCAAGUCUGGUGUGAAAUCUCGGAGCUCAACUCCGAAAUUGCACCGGAUACUGCGUGACUCGAGGACUGUAGAGGAGAUCGGAAUUCACGGUGUAGCAGUGAAAUGCGUAGAUAUCGUGAGGAAGACCAGUUGCGAAGGCGGAUCUCUGGGCAGUUCCUGACACUGAGGCACGAAGGCCAGGGGAGCAAACGGGAUUAGAUACCCCGGUAGUCCUGGCAGUAAACGGUGCACGUUUGGUGUGGGCGGGUUCAGACCCCGUCCGUGCCGGAGCUAACGCGUUAAACGUGCCGCCUGGGAAGUACGGUCGCAAGAUUAAAACUCAAAUGAAUUGACGGGG